UACGUAGGGACCAAGCGUUGUCCGGAAUCAUUGGGCGUAAAGAGCGUGUAGGCGGCUUGUUAAGUCUUGCGUGAAAUCUCGGGGCUCAACCCCGAGCGGUCGUGAGAAACUGGCAGGCUAGAGUGCGGGAGAGGAGAGUGGAACUCCUGGUGUAGCGGUGAAAUGCGCAGAUAUCAGGAAGAACACCCGUGGCGAAGGCGGCUCUCUGGAACGCAACUGACGCUGAGACGCGAAAGCGUGGGGAGCAAACAGG
RNAcentral lists this ribosomal RNA (253 nucleotides) under uncultured bacterium. RNAcentral's name for it is "partial 16S ribosomal RNA". It matches the Rfam family "Bacterial small subunit ribosomal RNA", at positions 524 to 776 of the family's 1533-position model. The record is from RNAcentral.